UUCUUAUCAAGAGUGGUGGAGGGACGAGCCCGUUGAAACCCAGCAACAGCUAAUUAUCAUAUAUAAUUAGAAUUGUGCUAAAUCUUGCAGGAUAAAACCUGAGGGAUAAGGA
Molecule: non-coding RNA, 112 nt
Filed under: Clostridium grantii
Lineage: Bacteria; Bacillati; Bacillota; Clostridia; Eubacteriales; Clostridiaceae
Also listed under: 1 other name
Description: SAM-I sequence
Rfam family: SAM riboswitch aptamer (S box leader)
About the family: The SAM riboswitch is found upstream of a number of genes which code for proteins involved in methionine or cysteine biosynthesis in Gram-positive bacteria. The SAM riboswitch acts at the level of transcription termination control.
Source: RNAcentral